RNAcentral lists this long non-coding RNA (256 nucleotides) under Bos taurus (domestic cattle). Its description in RNAcentral is "long non-coding RNA NONBTAT015580". Lineage: Eukaryota; Metazoa; Chordata; Mammalia; Artiodactyla; Bovidae. The record is from RNAcentral.
UUUGUUUGGUGGCUUCGAGUUAAAUCACUGCAUUGAGUGUUUUUAGAUAGAAAACAAGGUUAAUGUUGGUAGUUACUGCCUUCUUGCCUUGAAUCUCCAUGAAGGAGAGGCCAACAGAGCUUUCUUAAUCUCGGGGUACAGUGGGCCAUAGUGCUAGAAGUUUGGGGCCAGGAGUCAGUGUACUUGCCUGGCUCUGUCACCUCCCAAGCUGCAUGACUCACAAGCCUCUUCACCCUUCCUCCACUCUCUUACCUGC